Pipistrellus kuhlii (Kuhl's pipistrelle) is the source of this 109-nucleotide small nuclear RNA. The record is from RefSeq and is a predicted model, not a curated record. Lineage: Eukaryota; Metazoa; Chordata; Mammalia; Chiroptera; Vespertilionidae.
GUGCUCACUUUGGCAGCAAAUAUACUAAAAUUGGAACAGUACAGAGAAGAUUAGCAUGGCUCCUGCACAAAGAAAAAAAAAGAAACAGGGAAUGAACAAAUAGAUGUUU